Phrynosoma platyrhinos (Desert horned lizard) is the source of this 71-nucleotide non-coding RNA. The record is from the annotation of a GenBank genome assembly. NCBI's taxonomy places the organism in Eukaryota, Metazoa, Chordata, Lepidosauria, Squamata, Phrynosomatidae.
GACAAUGUGGUGUAGUGGUUUGAGUGUUGGACUAUGACUCUGGAGAUCAGGCUUCGAUUCCUGCAUGGCCA